ACUUAACGACAAGACACCAGACCCACAGUGAUAACACAAACAUAGAACAAGGAGGAGUUAGGACACACUCGCCUCCAUCUUGUGGAUCCACGUUAUAGACGUAGAGAAAUCCGUCCGAGGACGCCACCAGCAGGCGAGGGAGCUUCUGAAUCCUGAAUCAGAGGGCGCAGAUGUUCUUCAGGCCGAACAUGUUGAGGCGAACGGUCGCGAAGGCUCUGUCCUGAUGCAUCAUGUCUGACACCUGGGCGGGCAAGUAGGUGCUGGCUGCAGUGAACAUUUUGCCCACAUAUGCUGACCAUGUGGGAGACUCCUCCUCUUGACUGUAAAGAAAUGAUUAGGAUUAAAAGACUAAAAAAGUCCAGUAUGUAUGAAUUAGUGACAUCUUAUGGAGCUAGUAAGCCACCUCAAAUGUCACACAAUGGAAUUUCACAUGGUGAAAUGCUGAAAGUGUUGCAUUGUUUUACAUCAGAAAUACAGCAGAUGUCGCUAGUCGUUCAAUGAAUUGUCCCAAGUGAAGGUUCAGAAAAUGAAAUUUGAAAUACGGAGUAAUUAUGUAUUGCUUUAAGAAAAAUCACGUAUAUAAGUAAGUGGGUUCAAAAGUAAAUAAAUUUUUACUUGAAUGACAGUAUCUUCAAAACCACCACCAGCAUUAUCUACAAACUUCCUUCAUGAUGUAGAAACAAAUACGAGUGUUUUACCUGGGGCUGUGCUGCUCCAGUUUAAAGAUAUGGACCGUCUCUGUGUUGCUGGACGCGCAGAGGAACUGGGCAUCAGCACUGAAGGACAAUGAACUGAUGCUAACAUACCUGACGAACAGAAGGAACAAAAACACAAACGGUUCAGAAAACUCUGUAAAUAGAAAUGUAUACAAUUGGCCUAUACUGUACGUGAACUGUAUUGUCUUUUGUCCAUGUUUUACAUGAGAAUAAGCAGUAAAUUAAAUGUGAAAACGUGA
Solea senegalensis (Senegalese sole) is the source of this 955-nucleotide long non-coding RNA. RefSeq lists it as uncharacterized. The transcript is spliced from 3 exons. NCBI's taxonomy places the organism in Eukaryota, Metazoa, Chordata, Actinopteri, Pleuronectiformes, Soleidae. The record is from RefSeq and is a predicted model, not a curated record.